UGGGGAAUAUUGGACAAUGGGCGCAAGCCUGAUCCAGCCAUGCCGCGUGGGUGAAGAAGGCCUUCGGGUUGUAAAGCCCUUUUGUCCGGAAAGAAAUCCUGUCGGUUAAUACCCGGCGGGGAUGACGGUACCGGGAGAAUAAGCACCGGCUAACUUCGUGCCAGCAGCCGCGGUAAUACGAAGGGUGCAAGCGUUACUCGGAAUUACUGGGCGUAAAGCGUGCGUAGGCGGUUCGUUAAGUCCGAUGUGAAAGCCCUGGGCUCAACCUGGGAACUGCAUUGGAUACUGGCGAGCUAGAGUGCGGUAGAGGAUGGUGGAAUUCCCGGUGUGGCGGUGAAAUGCGUAGAGAUCGGGAGGAACACCAGUGGCGAAGGCGGCCAUCUGGACCAGCACUGACGCUGAGGCACGAAAGCGUGGGGAGCAAACA
This 427-nucleotide ribosomal RNA is filed under the name uncultured bacterium. Its description in RNAcentral is "bacterial SSU rRNA". It matches the Rfam family "Bacterial small subunit ribosomal RNA", at positions 355 to 774 of the family's 1533-position model. The record is from RNAcentral.